AGAUUGAACGCUGGCGGCAUGCCUUACACAUGCAAGUCGAACGGCAGCACGGGAGCAAUCCUGGUGGCGAGUGGCGAACGGGUGAGUAACACAUCGGAACGUGCCCAAUCGUGGGGGAUAACUACGCGAAAGCGUAGCUAAUACCGCAUAUGAUCUACGGAUGAAAGCAGGGGAUCGCAAGACCUUGCGCGAAUGGAGCGGCCGAUGGCAGAUUAGGUAGUUGGUGAGGUAAAGGCCCACAAGCCUUCGAUCUGUAGCUGGUCUGAGAGGACGACCAGCCACACUGGGACUGAGACACGGCCCAGACUCCUACGGGAGCAGCAGUGGGGAAUUUGGACAAUGGGCGCAAGCCUGAUCCAGCCAUCGCCGCGUGCGAGGAU
This 380-nucleotide ribosomal RNA is filed under the name uncultured soil bacterium. RNAcentral describes it as "bacterial SSU rRNA". It matches the Rfam family "Bacterial small subunit ribosomal RNA", at positions 26 to 410 of the family's 1533-position model. The record is from RNAcentral.